RNAcentral lists this ribosomal RNA (492 nucleotides) under uncultured bacterium. Its description in RNAcentral is "partial 16S ribosomal RNA". It matches the Rfam family "Bacterial small subunit ribosomal RNA", at positions 29 to 507 of the family's 1533-position model. The record is from RNAcentral.
AGUGAACGCUGGCGGUAGGCCUAACACAUGCCAGUCGAACGGCAGCACAGUAAGAGCUUGCUCUUACGGGUGGCGAGUGGCGGACGGGUGAGGAAUACAUCGGAAUCUACUUUUUCGUGGGGGAUAACGUAGGGAAACUUACGCUAAUACCGCAUACGACCUACGGGUGAAAGCAGGGGAUCUUCGGACCUUGCGCGAUUGAAUGAGCCGAUGUCGGAUUAGCUAGUUGGCGGGGUAAAGGCCCACCAAGGCGACGAUCCGUAGCUGGUCUGAGAGGAUGAUCAGCCACACUGGAACUGAGACACGGUCCAGACUCCUACGGGAGGCAGCAGUGGGGAAUAUUGGACAAUGGGCGCAAUCCUGCUCCAGCCAUACCGCGUGGGUGAAGAAGGCCUUCGGGUUUUAAAGCCCUUUUGUUGGGAAAGAAAAGCAGCAGGUUAAUACCCCGCUGUUCUGACGGUACCCAAAGAAUAAGCACCGGCUAACUUCGUG